This 505-nucleotide ribosomal RNA is filed under the name uncultured bacterium. Its description in RNAcentral is "bacterial SSU rRNA". It matches the Rfam family "Bacterial small subunit ribosomal RNA", at positions 15 to 518 of the family's 1533-position model. The record is from RNAcentral.
GAUCCUGGCUCAGGAUGAACGCUGGCGGCGUGCCUAAUACAUGCAAGUCGAGCGAGAACUUCAGAAGUUGCGAUUAUCAAGACAGAAGAAGGGAAAGCGGCGGACGGGUGAGUAACGCGUAGGCAACCUGCCCCUGGCAGAGGGAUAGCCAUUGGAAACGAUGAUUAAAACCUCAUAACGCCGGAAGCACACAUGUGCAUCCGGCCAAAGAUUUAUCGGCUGGGGAUGGGGCCUGCGUCUGAUUAACUGGUUGGUGAGGUAACGGCUCACCAAGGUAACGAUCAGUAGCCGACCUGAGAGGGUGAUCGGCCACAUUGGAACUGAGACACGGUCCAAACUUCUACGGAAGGCAGCAGUAAGGAAUCUUGUACAAUGGGGGAAACCCUGAUGCAGCAACGCCGCGUGAACGAUGAAGGCCUUCGGGUUGUAAAGUUCUGAUCUUGGGGAAGAAGGAAGUGACGGUACCCAAGGAGAAAGCCCCGGCUAAAUACGUGCCAGCAGCUGC